GAGAGAGGGAGAGUGAUCAAAAAGGGAGAGAAAUUGGCACUCGGUAGCUUCCCAUUCGGCUGGAAGAGGAACAGCUCUGGUUGCCACAACUUUGGUUGCUCUUUCUCACUGAGUUUGUCGAGGGGUGGCCGUUCCUGCAGUCCACUGGUGCCCCCUAUCGUCCACUUCAGGAGACUCACAAGCAGCGUGAACAGCUAAACCUGGAUGAAGACACUGAGGUUCUAAGAAGUUGCCAGACUCAUUGGAGCUUCAGAGCUGGAACUUGAAAACCAAGUCUUUGACUCCAAGAGCCUAGCAUGGUGCCAAUCCAGAGUAACUCUUGCAAGAUGUUGUAUGAAUGAUGAAAUAAAUGCGCUUAUAGGCUAGAAGAAUAAAAAGGAAUCAGAUCUGUGAAGAGCCUAGUAAGCAAGACUAAGGAAUUAAAAUUGAUCCUGAAAUUAUGGGAAGCCCCUGAAGGAUUUUAAGAGGCCGACACCUCACAUGUGGAAGUGCAGGAGGUAAGAUGUGUCCGAAAGAACCAAGACGGAAAUCAAAGAAACAGUCGUGAGCUACCGCAAGCAAAUCAUCAUGAAGACCUGCAGGAAGCUAGUAAUGGUGGUGAUUGGGAGAAGGAAGAGGAUUCAAGGCCAUGCAGAUGGGCAACCAUAUGUCCUCAUUUGCUUCAGACAGGUCCAGUUUACUCCUGGUACAGUUAUUAAUAGUGUCCCUUUCAGUCCCCAGAAUGCCCUAGUUUGGAUGAUAAUUAUCCUUUCACUCUGUAUGUAGGAGAUAAAGUUAACAGAACAUGAGGCGGGGGUGGGGAGUAGAGUGAGUUGUGUAGGAUAUGACUCAUGUUCUGCCCGAGGUGACCCAGUGACUGGUAACACCAUUCACCAAAUUAGGCAGUCUAGGAGGAGAAGCAGUGGGAGAAGUUCCUUUUUAAAAUAAAAAUAAAGUUAAAAAGUGAGUCAUUGAAAAGUAUUCAGGAAAUCGCAGUAAAAGAUGACAAAAAUUGCGAAGGAAAGACCCAAAUGGCUAGAGUCUGGGGAAUACUGAUGGAAGGUAUCAUCAGGAUGAGAAAGAACAUCUUCCCUCCCUGAACCUCUGAACCGAGUUAGUCUCAGGGCCAUUCAUUAGGAAACCUGCCCUCAUCUGCCAUUCACACCAACUGCAGAUGGAAAAUUGAAAUGGCCACUUAAUUCCGGGUCUGGUUUCUCACUUCCCAUUUUCUUCCCUCCAAGUCACUGCCAUGUCUGCUCCCAACAGCCAGCGACUUCUGAGUAUCUUCAGCAUUAACUGGAUCACAGCUGCCCGUGGUCAUUCAGACAGUCAAAAUAACGCCGCACCACGCCAAGAUCUAGUUAACUGAGUCUAGUCUGAAGAACACAUCCCUUGGUUCGAGCCAAAGGUCAGGCAACACCAAAAUGUUCUACCUCGUUUAUAAGCCACAUGACCCAAGAUCCUUACUAAUCUAUGCUCAUAUUUGCCAACACCUCAGCUUUUUUCCUCCCCCUACAACAUGUCAACAACUGAGUAAUUAUUUAAUAAACCUCAGAACAUACCUCUGCUUCUUCUCUUGGCCAGAGAGACCCGGGAUUUUCCCAGUUUCGGUUUCAAGGUGGCUCUGACUUCAGGGUUCCAAGUGCAGUCAAGCGGAAGAAUAAAUGCACCCACCAGAGCCUUUUGAGGGAACUUUCAAACAAAACUAUGGCUUUUCAAGUAUUAAGAGGGAAUGACAGACUGAACUAAGCUCAGUAUUCCUUUCAAUACGCGUGUUAAAGGUUAUGUUAGCAGCUGUCGAAUCGCUGGCCAACUCUAACUACAUCACUCUUCACCCUAAAUCAGAUGGUUUGGGUGGUACCCGGAACUUGCCUCUCUGAGCUGACCCUGAGCAAUAGGAUUAUUCAAGAAGGUGAUUUUUGGUUUUCCAGGCAUUCCCAUCACUUGUGCCAUUAUUAGCCUGAUGAACAAGAGAACCCAGGACCCCAAGUCCUGAGACACUCCUGCUGCUGGUGGUGGCUCAGAGAACUCUACCCCCUCCAUCUGCAUCUCCUGCUAGAGGUUGGACGCCAAGGCCAUCUGUCUGACAAGUGUGACCGCUGAGGACCUGGGGGUAGCCUAAGUGGUGUCUCCUCUGUGUCCCACCAUGACUGACUCCUUGGCAAGUAGAGAGCAGAUGUUUCUGACCCCAAGUCCCUCUUACUGCACCAGCCAGAAGCAAAUGAGAGUAAGAGUUCAGGAAUCUUUGGCCAUAUUGGGGUUCUUCAGGAGUCAUGCAUGGCUGUGGGAAAGCUCAUCUCAAACUCCUACUAAAGGUUGGCGUGGCACAUAAACCCUUCUGCUUCUACUUCUGAUUCCUACUACCUACCCGCUGGCCUCCAAGUCUGAAUGCACAAAGCUCAACCAGGAUUCACUCUUGAAGCAACAAAACAGACAUUUUCCUAAACUCGCCAGUUUAGGGACUUCAUUCCUCAGGGCCUUAUAUGAUCCUACAAGAGCUGUUGUUCUCCUGAGGCAUGUUGACACCUGGCUGUUAACCUCGGCUUUCUCCAUGGCUUUGGGGGGUGGGGUGGGGGUGUCAAGCUUACAAGGACACUGACAGAUGUGAUGGAAAAGGAUACUGGGGAUGACGGCUGCACAGGAGACGGCAGAGAUGGCCAUCCGGACAUGACACGUGGAAAGGCGGUUCCACUGGGGACACGACUUGUAGGAGAUGAUGGACUGCAGGAGCGUGUACACGACACCGCAGACAAAUGCCAAGAGGGCGCCACCGUCGUGCACCACGGGGACAGCUAACUCCUGGAGAGAAAGUCACACAUGAGAUGUUACACAUCGAGAGCCAAAUGCACGGGCAUAUCCAUUUAGGGACAUUAUAUAUGAAAUAAAAAGUACUUCUAGA
This is a long non-coding RNA of Phacochoerus africanus (Common warthog), 2878 nucleotides long. RefSeq lists it as uncharacterized. The transcript is spliced from 4 exons. NCBI's taxonomy places the organism in Eukaryota, Metazoa, Chordata, Mammalia, Artiodactyla, Suidae. The record is from RefSeq and is a predicted model, not a curated record.